AUUGAACGCUGGCGGCAUGCCUUACACAUGCAAGUCGAACGGUAACGGGCCUUCGGGUGCCGACGAGUGGCGAACGGGUGAGUAAUACAUCGGAACGUGCCCGAUCGUGGGGGAUAACGAGGCGAAAGCUUUGCUAAUACCGCAUACGAUCUACGGAUGAAAGCAGGGGACCGCAAGGCCUUGUGCGGACGGAGCGGCCGAUGGCAGAUUAGGUAGUUGGUGGGAUAAAAGCUUACCAAGCCGACGAUCUGUAGCUGGUCUGAGAGGAUGAUCAGCCACACUGGGACUGAGACACGGCCCAGACUCCUACGGGAGGCAGCAGUGGGGAAUUUUGGACAAUGGGCGCAAGCCUGAUCCAGCCAUGCCGCGUGCAGGAUGAAGGCCUUCGGGUUGUAAACUGCUUUUGUACGGAACGAAAAGCCUUCUUCUAAUACAGGAGGGUCAUGACGGUACCGUAAGAAUAAGCACCGGCUAACUACGUGCCAGCCGCCGCCGUAA
Molecule: ribosomal RNA, 498 nt
Filed under: uncultured bacterium
Lineage: Bacteria
Description: partial 16S ribosomal RNA
Rfam family: Bacterial small subunit ribosomal RNA
Source: RNAcentral